CAGUAAAGGAAUUGAUAUUUAAAGUAUUUUUUUAUAUGUACUUCUCCAGGUAGUGAGUGACUUUACUAUUCUUUUAAAGAUAUGCAGUACAGUGCUGACUCUGAAAACUGGUCCUAGUUUUUUUGCAUAUUUUAUUGUAUAAACAGUUCAAAAGCACCGUUAGUAUAUACCUGUUCCUGGUUUCUAUCUCAGAGUCUUUGAUAGUGCUUUAGUCUUUGAGUGGGAAAAUUUCCCCAGGGGAUUGGAAAUACAUUCUUAUGAUGGCUUCUUGAUCUUUUAUUGUAUCCUCAAGCAAAGACCAAAAAGAAGAUUGAAUAGAAAAUAGAGCCUACCAGAAAGAGUACUUCACUUCAUUGAUAAUGUAACAUGUUAGACAGAAUUGAAUAGGACCUAUGACUCACAUCUACCUGACUGGUUAGAAGCUGGAGAGUCCAAGAUCAAUGUGUCGGCACAUUUCGUUCUUGCCCCCCAGUACAUAGUUGUGUAUUCUUAGUUGUGGGUCCUUCUAGUUGCGGCAUGUGGGAUGCUGCCUCAGCAUGGCUUGACGAGUGUUGCCAUGUCCACGCCUAGGAUUCGAACCAGCGAAACACUGGGCAGCUGCAGCGGAGCACAUGAACUUAACCACUCGGCCAUGGGGCCAGCCCCAAGCCUAAUUGCUUUUAAUACAUCUCUUUUUACAAGGUAAAGAACAGAUGUUUUGUAAUUUUCCAAGGGCCGUUUGGAGAACUCUAAAGUCAGUUUGAGAUCAAGAAAAUUUCAUACAGAAAUCUAUUUUAGGAAGGUAAAAUAUCC
Molecule: long non-coding RNA, 792 nt
Filed under: Equus caballus (horse)
Lineage: Eukaryota; Metazoa; Chordata; Mammalia; Perissodactyla; Equidae
Description: lncRNA (ENSECAG00000054534.1)
Source: RNAcentral